GACGAACGCUGGCGGCGUGCCUAAUACAUGCAAGUCGAGCGAGCUUGCCUAGAUGAAUUUGGUGCUUGCACCAGAUGAAACUAGAUACAAGCGAGCGGCGGACGGGUGAGUAACACGUGGGUAACCUGCCCAAGAGACUGGGAUAACACCUGGAAACAGAUGCUAAUACCGGAUAACAACACUAGACGCAUGUCUAGAGUUUAAAAGAUGGUUCUGCUAUCACUCUUGGAUGGACCUGCGGUGCAUUAGCUAGUUGGUAAGGCAACGGCUUACCAAGGCAAAUGGUGGUACGCCGAGUUGGGGAGUUGAUCGGCCCACUGGGGCGUGAGAACCGCCCAAACCCCCUCGGGGAGGCAGAGGUGGGGAAUUUUCCCAAAUGGACGAAAUUCUGAGGGAGCAACGGCGGGGGAGGGAAAAAGGUUUUGGGCCUGGAAAGUUUUGUUGGUAGGGAAAAAAGAUAGGGGUAGUAACUGGCCUUUUUUGGACGGUAAUUACGUAGAAAAUCCCGGCAAACUACGU
This 519-nucleotide ribosomal RNA is filed under the name uncultured bacterium. RNAcentral describes it as "partial 16S ribosomal RNA". It matches the Rfam family "Bacterial small subunit ribosomal RNA", at positions 28 to 506 of the family's 1533-position model. The record is from RNAcentral.